Molecule: ribosomal RNA, 253 nt
Filed under: uncultured bacterium
Lineage: Bacteria
Description: partial 16S ribosomal RNA
Rfam family: Bacterial small subunit ribosomal RNA
Source: RNAcentral
UACGUAGGGGGCUAGCGUUGUCCGGAUUUAUUGGGCGUAAAGAGCGUGUAGGCGGCCAGGUAGGUCUGGUGUGAAAACUCGAGGCUUAACCUCGAGAUGUCAUCGGAAACCAUCUGGCUAGAGUCCGGAAGAGGAGAGUGGAAUUCCUGAUGUAGCGGUGAAAUGCGUAGAUAUCAGGAAGAACACCAAUGGCGAAAGCAGCUCUCUGGGACGGCACUGACGCUGAGACGCGAAAGCGUGGGGAGCGAACAGG